AGCAGGAGAUCAGGUUGGGCCGAGUCACGUUCGAAAUGGUGGGAGGUCGAAUUAGACCGAAUCAUGUUCGAAGUGGCGUGAGAUUGGUUGGACCGAGACCUGUGUAUACUUUGUCUACAUUCUUUAAGUAAAUUAAUUAGUUGCGUAUUUCUAACAGCUUGAGUUUUUGAAAUUAAAUAUUAGCACCAACGAUCCAAUAUCGUGCAGAAAAAAAAAAUGAAUUUUAAGUGAGAUCUCAAAUAUCAAUUAUCAAAUAUUUUGCCACAUAUAUUAGAGACUAUUAGGAAAAUAAUGACAACUUCAUAUAACUUAUUUUAACUUUUUAAAAUUU
RNAcentral lists this long non-coding RNA (331 nucleotides) under Ananas comosus (pineapple). Its description in RNAcentral is "long non-coding RNA (ACOM_LNC002612)". The record is from RNAcentral. Lineage: Eukaryota; Viridiplantae; Streptophyta; Magnoliopsida; Poales; Bromeliaceae.